RNAcentral lists this transfer RNA (80 nucleotides) under Bauldia sp. RNAcentral describes it as "tRNA-Lys". It matches the Rfam family "tRNA". Rfam says of the family: Transfer RNA (tRNA) molecules are approximately 80 nucleotides in length. Their secondary structure includes four short double-helical elements and three loops (D, anti-codon, and T loops). The record is from RNAcentral. Lineage: Bacteria; Pseudomonadati; Pseudomonadota; Alphaproteobacteria; Hyphomicrobiales; Kaistiaceae.
GAGCGCGUAGCUCAGCCGGUAGAGCANNCAACUGACUUUUAAUCAGUAGGUCCCGGGUUCGAGCCCCGGCGCGCUCACCA